GAUGAAGAACGCAGCGAAAUGCGAUAAGUAAUGUGAAUUGCAGAAUUCAGUGAAUCAUCGAAUCUUUGAACGCACCUUGCGCCCUUUGGCUAUUCCAAAGGGCAUGCCUGUUUGAGUAUCAUGAACACCUCAACUCUCAUGGUCUGCCAUGAUGAGCUUGGACUUUGGAGGUCUGCUGGCCUGUGGUCAGCUCCUCUCAAAUGAAUCAGCUUUCCGGUGUUUGGUGGCAUCAUGGGUGUGAUAAAUAUCUACGCUUGUGGUUUUCCACCAGGUAACCUUCAGUGAUGGGGGUCCGCUGGGGCUCAUAAAUGUCUCUCCUCAGCGAAGACAGCUUUGUGAAUGUUUGAUCUCAAAUCAGGUAGGACUACCCGCUGAACUUAAGCAUAUCAAUAAGCGGAGGA
This 401-nucleotide unclassified non-coding RNA is filed under the name soil metagenome. RNAcentral's name for it is "partial contains 5.8S ribosomal RNA, internal transcribed spacer 2, and large subunit ribosomal RNA". The stretch from base 1 to 121 matches the Rfam family "5.8S ribosomal RNA", at positions 35 to 154 of the family's 154-position model. The record is from RNAcentral.